This 250-nucleotide ribosomal RNA is filed under the name uncultured prokaryote. Its description in RNAcentral is "partial 16S ribosomal RNA". It matches the Rfam family "Bacterial small subunit ribosomal RNA", at positions 524 to 774 of the family's 1533-position model. The record is from RNAcentral.
UACGUAGGGAGCGAGCGUUAUCCGGAAUUAUUGGGUGUAAAGCGUGUGUAGGCGGGAAAUUAAGUCUAAGGUCUAAGCCCGGAGCUCAACUCCGGAUCGCCUUAGAAACUGAUUUUCUUGAGUAUGGUAGAGGCAAAUGGAAUUUCUAGUGUAGCGGUAAAAUGCGUAGAUAUUAGAAGGAACACCAGUGGCGAAGGCGAUUUGCUGGGCCAAAACUGACGCUGAGACACGAAAGCGUGGGGAGCAAAUA